CUUGCCACUGUGCCACCAUGCAGCCCCGGAGCACUGUGCCAGCCUCCACUGCUGCAUCUGCUCUCCUGCCCCGAGCAAGGCCCCCGAGCUGGAGCAGCCCCACCACCACCCAUCAGCAGCAUUUGCCACUUUGAAUGUUUGUGAAGAGGAAAUAACAGACAGAAACCACAGCAGGCAAAGCAUUGGAGAACUCACUUGUGCUCAUGCAAAUGUGGUGAGAGUGGCAGUCUGGGCUCAGACAGCUUCUGGGCGAUAUCAAACCUCCAGUUGUUUCUAGCAGUGAGGACCCCGAGCAGCAGGACCUGAGGGUGGGGAGGUGCUCCAGGCACGUGUCACCAGCCCUUCCCACACUGGAGCCAGAGGCGUGAGGGCGCCGGAGCCGUCUGGAGCUGCCGGCCGGCUGGAGCAAAGGCUCGGCGGAAGGGGAAU
This is a long non-coding RNA of Corapipo altera (White-ruffed manakin), 429 nucleotides long. RefSeq lists it as uncharacterized. The transcript is spliced from 3 exons. The record is from RefSeq and is a predicted model, not a curated record. NCBI's taxonomy places the organism in Eukaryota, Metazoa, Chordata, Aves, Passeriformes, Pipridae.